UAAUUAGUGGCCAUUGCUUGGGUGUGGCUAUAAAAGCCUGGAAGUGUGCAAUAUCUGGAGAUUGUGAAUCGCUACCUCCUGUGCAGAGUGGCUUCCUGUUUAUCCCGCGCCUGGUGUUGUGAUCAUCUCCUCCUUCGCUGACCUCGAGAACGGUUGUUCACUCUAGUUCCAGUGAGGACGCACGUUCCCGCGGCAGCCAGUGUCUCCGAGUAACGUGGGUAUUUUAUUUAAAUCUCCCUAUUGGCAUCAUUUUACCUCCGUUAGGUUUUUAAUUAUGAUUUGUGUUCUGCAGACAC
Molecule: long non-coding RNA, 296 nt
Organism: Clupea harengus (Atlantic herring)
Lineage: Eukaryota; Metazoa; Chordata; Actinopteri; Clupeiformes; Clupeidae
Exons: 3
Source: RefSeq, a predicted model, not a curated record